This is a long non-coding RNA of Photinus pyralis (common eastern firefly), 1501 nucleotides long. RefSeq lists it as uncharacterized. The transcript has 3 exons. Lineage: Eukaryota; Metazoa; Arthropoda; Insecta; Coleoptera; Lampyridae. The record is from RefSeq and is a predicted model, not a curated record.
GUUUUGUUAUCUGUAACUGACAUCACGUUAGCUUCCAGGUAUGAACAACCGGUAAGUAGUUUCAAAGACAACUUCUAUGAUUUAACUUUACACGGGAUCAAUACAAAUCAAAUUACAGGAAGGCUGGUUCCAGUCGAGCGCGAAUUUACAUUCGCAGCGUCUACCGAAAUUUCACCACAGGGAUAACCUAAUUCUGAGCACGGCUAUAGCCGUAUACUUUUUCCACGGAUGGUAAAAGGAAGAGCGCGGUCAUACGACCUGCACCUCUUUGUACUGGAUAGUCAGGAAGGGUUUCAGAGCGCGGUACUACAACCGGCACGUCUGAGGUAAAUUAUUCAACGGGGCGGGUGUCAGAGCGCGAUUUACAAUCGCUAACGUCUGACCAGGAAACAGGAAAGAAUUUCUUAGGAUCAGGAAAACAAUUCUAAGACGAGUCCCCUUUCUGGUCUGGUUUCUGUUUAUAUAGUCUGUGGAAGGAAGUGGGAAUGUAAUGGUGAUGGUAAUCGUACUGGUGGGAAUGUCCACAAACAUGACGUCUUUGAAACUACCGCCCUCUCCUGAUAGAAAUCUAGAUUAAUUUCCAAUUCCUACAGGAAUCAAAUUACAAAUUAAUCUUAUAACAUUUCACAUCAUUACAGAAUCUAUGUGCGAUUUGGCCAGCAAGGCUACGUAAUUUGCUACCUUGCUUUUAAUAGAGGGAUUUUAUUGCACCAAUGAUGAGUCACCAGUUGUACAGCUACCUUGUUUUGUUACUUGCUUGGUCAGCCAGUUCUUUGUUUUGCAACUUGCUUUUAACCUGUUUUUAUAUUAUGUUUUGUUGUGUAUAGGAUUAGUACUUAUCAUGCUUCAUUAUCAAUCAAUUACAACAAAUUAUUUUAUACAUUAACCACAGUUUCACUAUUGCACAUUCGAGAUUCGAACUAUUAAAAUAACUGAGCAGACAUUCAAAAUACUAAUUAUGCUAUUACGCCAUUAUAUUACUUAUUUUCUGAUCCUUCCCUCCUACUGCACUUCAGAUCAUAGCGUGAGGGGGGCCGUCUUGGAUGUUUGAUCACGUGCCACUUUUCAGUUUCAAAUGUAAGUGGGAUAUGUUUAGUUUUGGAGAGAGUACAUUCCGAGGGCAAUUUUUGAACCUUGCCGGGUUGAUUUUAUUUCCGUGUUAUUGUAGUGUGAAGUUGGCAUAGAACCUGGGGGUUCAGUACAUUACAAGUGGAUUAUAACACAACCAGACCCCACAUACUAAAAAUAAGAAACGUUUGUAAUGUUCCUAGGGGUCUAUCAAGUCGACACUGAAAACGUUGACUUACUCUUUACUUAUCCUUGGAAACUCUGGGAAAAAACUACAAGCAGAGCCACCUACCUUUCAAAUCAAAACGAUGGACCUUUCGCGUCACUUUUGAAUUUGGAUGGCAGUCGGAUCGAUAUGGGUGGCACGAAUGAACUCCUACGUUGUGUAAUCGGGAAGGGAAUUAAAUAAAAGACAGAACUUUUGUGCGUAAGA